This 1354-nucleotide long non-coding RNA is filed under the name Cricetulus griseus (Chinese hamster). RNAcentral's name for it is "lncRNA (ENSCGRG00000026510.1)". Lineage: Eukaryota; Metazoa; Chordata; Mammalia; Rodentia; Cricetidae. The record is from RNAcentral.
UUUUGACAUCUGUUUUGUGCUUCCAAGUGGAAAAGUGCUGGGAAUGGGAGGAGCCGUGUACGGAGGCUAGGUCAGAUCCAAAGGUCAGUGAGUGGUUCAGGAUUAAAUGAGUCACAGGGCACUAGAUGGGGAAAACCUAGGGCUUUAGCUCCCCGGUGCAAUUCCCCUCCAUUCUCACUAUAGCAAGCAGUUCUCAGAAAGAGAAAGGAGGCCCCAAGCAGCUGCUGGGGGCUUGAGAGGAUUGGAGGGUGGGGGCGUUCCCACCUGUAGUUCAGGAGGGGCAGUCAGAGGCUGCAGUUUUUCAUUGUUGCCUGGUGCCCAACACCUCUUCCGCAAUGCUGGGGGAUUUCCAUGUCUUGUUAGCAUUAUGACCAGUAGUGUGAGCCUUGCUUUCCCAGGGAAUAUAGGAUCUAAUACAUGCAUUCACUUAUGCAGCAAUAUCACUUAAAAGUUUUCUAAUACUUACGAACACCUAAAGGAGACACUCUUUUAGUCCCUGAAUUAAUGGAAAUCCCUCUGACUCACCUCUUCCUCAGCAUAAAAAAGAAAACAAUUAGGUAGCCUCUCACACAAACAGGUCAUGACAGAUAGUUUAGUCAUAGACAGCCGGAGUCGUAAAGACUUAGGCUAGUGAGCUUGUCUCAUAUAAAUUUGUAGGAAUUUUUUGCAAGAUAGUAAAUUUUCUCUAGGAAAUGUAAUUAGACACAUAGUCUCAUUUGAACCCUUUCAAGGAAGGCUUUGCACAAAGCACAUUUACUCUCCUGUGAGGCAGGCUGAGUCUCCCGCGUCUUCAGUCAAUGUGCCUGGGAAAAUGAGACUCGGUAAUAAAAAAUCUGUUUAUUCUGGGCAGUGCCCUGUGACCAUGACCAGAUUUGGGGAUGUCUGUGGCUGUGAAGCACAGGGCCAUGUGUCACUUUGGACAAGAUGUGCUGGCACUCACUCUUCUUUCUGUUUGUCUUCUCUGCACUUUCCUUCCUUCUGGAAAACUUAGAUAGACACAUUAUCUGGUGUCCAACAUGGGGCAUGAGAUCACAAGGCAGCUUAUGAAGCGGCUGGCUCUACAACCACCAGAAUUGCAGUCACCACUGCUGAGUCUGUCAUUCUGGCAGUCCUCAAGACGUCUCUUUCUGCUAUGACCUUCUCCUGCCAGAAGCCCUGAAUCAGCUUCUCAGAGGCUUGCUCCCCUUCCCUAUGGGUCAUGGACUUUCCUAGGGUCUGCUUUCUGGGCCACUACUGCUUCAACUUGGCCUCCUUGACACCUGUUUUGACUUUGGUUGUUGCUGCCUCUGUACACCCCAGCCCCCAAUGUUGCAGCCACUGUUGCUGUGGACAAAAUGAAAAGUCAGCAGAUCUG